This 198-nucleotide ribosomal RNA is filed under the name uncultured bacterium. RNAcentral describes it as "partial 16S ribosomal RNA". It matches the Rfam family "Bacterial small subunit ribosomal RNA", at positions 335 to 524 of the family's 1533-position model. The record is from RNAcentral.
ACUCCUACGGGAGGCAGCAGUGGGGAAUCUUGCGCAAUGGGCGAAAGCCUGACGCAGCGACGCCGCGUGGGUGACGAAGGCCUUCGGGUUGUAAAGCCCUGUGGGGUAGAACGAACUGGCAUCGGGCUAAUAUCCCGGUGUCUUGACGGUACUGCCUUAGCAAGCAUCGGCUAACUCUGUGCCAGCAGCCGCGGUAAU